Molecule: long non-coding RNA, 234 nt
Filed under: Vigna radiata
Lineage: Eukaryota; Viridiplantae; Streptophyta; Magnoliopsida; Fabales; Fabaceae
Description: long non-coding RNA (VRAD_LNC004034)
Source: RNAcentral
AUAUAUAUAUAUAUAUAUAUAUAUGGGGUUUGUUAACACGCGUACACCUGUUUUUCAGUUGGUACGUUUUAACACUGUGUACCGGAUUAUAAUAGACAAAAAUAUCCUCAUUUUAUCAUGGAUUCUAAGUUUUAAGGUCAAUGCCAUUUAAAUAAUUUUCAUUCUCAACUAAAAAAAAGAAACUCCGAAACUCUUACUCACCUCCCUCAUUCCUCUGAACCCUUUCUCUUUCAU